This 222-nucleotide ribosomal RNA is filed under the name uncultured bacterium. RNAcentral's name for it is "partial 16S ribosomal RNA". It matches the Rfam family "Bacterial small subunit ribosomal RNA", at positions 109 to 334 of the family's 1533-position model. The record is from RNAcentral.
AGUAAUGUCUGGGAGACUGCCUGAUGGAGGGGGAUAACUACUGGAAACGGUAGCUAAUACCGCAUAACGUCGCAAGACCAAAGAGGGGGACCUUCGGGCCUCUUGCCAUCGGAUGUGCCCAGAUGGGAUUAGCUAGCAGGUGGGGUAACGGCUCACCUAGGCGACGAUCCCUAGCUGGUCUGAGCGGAUGACCAGCCACACUGGAACUGAGACACGGUCCAG